RNAcentral lists this ribosomal RNA (478 nucleotides) under uncultured bacterium. RNAcentral describes it as "partial 16S ribosomal RNA". It matches the Rfam family "Bacterial small subunit ribosomal RNA", at positions 28 to 523 of the family's 1533-position model. The record is from RNAcentral.
AUUGAACGCUGGCGGCGUGCUUAACACAUGCAAGUCGAACGGUAAGGCCCUUCGGGGUACACGAGUGGCGAACGGGUGAGUAACACGUGGGUGAUCUGCCCUGCACUUCGGGAUAAGCCUGGGAAACUGGGUCUAAUACCGGAUAGGACCCUGGGAUGCAUGUCCUGGGGUGGAAAGCUUUUGCGGUGUGGGAUGGGCCCGCGGCCUAGCAGCUUGUUGGUGGGGUGAAGGCCUACCAAGGCGACGACGGGUAGCCGGCCUGAGAGGGUGACCGGCCACACUGGGACUGAGAUACGGCCCAGACUCCUACGGGAGGCAGCAGUGGGGAAUAUUGCACAAUGGGCGCAAGCCUGAUGCAGCGACGCCGCGUGAGGGAUGACGGCCUUCGGGUUGUAAACCUCUUUCAGCACCGACGAAGCGCAAGUGACGGUAGGUGCAGAAGAAGGACCGGCCAACUACGUGCCAGCAGCCGCCGUAA